UAAGUUACAUUGCAGAAGUGUAGAGAUUUUCUUUAGUGGGUCGGCAGACAAUUUCAAGCAUUGAUUGAAAGUGUAACAGAAUAGAGCCGUUGCAUUGGCUCUACUUAAAUUUUAGAAUGUGAUUCCUUCGUAUGGCACUAGCUGAUGCAAUAGGACUACUUUCUUGUGUUUUGGUGGAAUUGCUUUUCAGGAAGUCUGUCUGGUUGUGGUCUGACUUUGUUUGCAUGGGCGAGUGAUUUUUAGUUGGCAAUAAUUUUUCCUCUAUAAAUUUAGUAAUCCUUAUGUAUAAAACAAAAACUUUUGUAAUUCUUGGACGACUAGGUUGCAAAGUGAGUGAAAAAUCAUGUCUAGAU
RNAcentral lists this long non-coding RNA (353 nucleotides) under Coffea arabica (coffee). RNAcentral's name for it is "long non-coding RNA (CARA_LNC001340)". Lineage: Eukaryota; Viridiplantae; Streptophyta; Magnoliopsida; Gentianales; Rubiaceae. The record is from RNAcentral.